RNAcentral lists this ribosomal RNA (697 nucleotides) under Anopheles farauti. RNAcentral describes it as "eukaryotic LSU rRNA". The stretch from base 1 to 94 matches the Rfam family "5.8S ribosomal RNA", at positions 66 to 154 of the family's 154-position model. Lineage: Eukaryota; Metazoa; Arthropoda; Insecta; Diptera; Culicidae. The record is from RNAcentral.
UGUGAACUGCAGGACACAUGAACACCGACACGUUGAACGCAUAUGGCGCAUCGGCUCGCCUCAAAACGACCGAUGCACACAUCCUUGAGUGUCUACUUACGUUGAACGCAAACACCGCCAAACAAUCCGUUGCCCGCUUCCGCACACCAAACGGGGACUCCGCUCGACCGCGGCCCCGGCGGGGAAGGCUUCGGUGCGUUUACUCGACUACGGCAUGCCGCGCGGACCUUGCCGCGCCCGCUCCCAGAUCCCCUCGCACGGGGUGAGAGCGGGCGCACACAGGCGGGUCGAGGCGGACGCCGUGCAUAAGGGCGUGCUGGGCGUGGCUUCGCGCCGCCCCAGGGCGCUGGUUUGGUGUGUAUUGCGAGCGGGAUCGAGUGGGGCGGCCGUCACUGGCCCCUGCACGCGCACGACGCGCGUGGUCUCUCUGGGUCGCGUAGCUGUUGCGCCGAGCGGCCUUCCGAGGUCUGCGCGCGCCUGAUGCUUGCGACCGCCACCACGCAGAGAGAGCCACCAACUGUCGUGCGGUCGGUGCCUAUAAGGUUCAGACAGUGCACGCGCCUGCCCCCAGAGAUCUCGCGACCCACAUGCACACACUGCCGCGCAACCGGCCCUCGGCGACGAGGUGCACGAGCAACAACCGGCCUUUCAACGUAGACCUCAGGUGAUGUGUGGUAACCCCCUGAAUUUAAGCAUA